RNAcentral lists this unclassified non-coding RNA (328 nucleotides) under soil metagenome. RNAcentral describes it as "partial contains 5.8S ribosomal RNA, internal transcribed spacer 2, and large subunit ribosomal RNA". The stretch from base 1 to 120 matches the Rfam family "5.8S ribosomal RNA", at positions 35 to 154 of the family's 154-position model. The record is from RNAcentral.
GAUGAAGAACGUAGCGAAAUGCGAUAAGUAAUGUGAAUUGCAGAAUUCAGUGAAUCAUCGAAUCUUUGAACGCACAUUGCGCCCCUUGGUAUUCCGAGGGGCAUGCCUGUUCGAGCGUCAUUAUAACCCUCAAGCUCAGCUUGGUGUUGAGGCCUGCUGCACUGGCAGCCCUUAAAAUCAGUGGCGGCGCCAUCUGGCUCUAAGCGUAGUAAUUCUUCUCGCUAUGGAGUCCUGGUGGAUGCUUGCCAUCAACCCCCAAUUUUUCUAUGGUUGACCUCGGAUCAGGUAGGAAUACCCGCUGAACUUAAGCAUAUCAAUAAGCGGAGGA